AUUGAACGCUGGCGGCAGGCCUAACACAUGCAAGUCGAGCGGUAACAGGGAUAGCUUGCUAUCUGCUGACGAGCGGCGGACGGGUGCGUAACACGUAGGAAUCUGCCCGGUAGUGGGGGAUAGCCCGGAGAAAUCCGGAUUAAUACCGCAUACGCCUUACGAGGGAAAGCAGGGGAUCUUCGGACCUUGCGCUAUCGGAUGAGCCUGCGUCGGAUUAGCUGGUUGGUAGGGUAAAGGCCUACCAAGGCAACGAUCCGUAGCUGGUCUGAGAGGAUGAUCAGCCACACUGGGACUGAGACACGGCCCCAGACUCCUACGGGAGGCAGCAGUGG
This 332-nucleotide ribosomal RNA is filed under the name uncultured Endozoicomonas sp. RNAcentral describes it as "bacterial SSU rRNA". It matches the Rfam family "Bacterial small subunit ribosomal RNA", at positions 30 to 357 of the family's 1533-position model. The record is from RNAcentral. Lineage: Bacteria; Pseudomonadati; Pseudomonadota; Gammaproteobacteria; Oceanospirillales; Endozoicomonadaceae.